CCCGGAUUCUCUCCAGUGAAGCGUAUAUUAAAGUUGCUGCAGUUAAAAAGCUCGUAGUUGAAAUUCUGUCCGGUUGAGCGAUUUCCAAAUGGUCUUCGCCUCACCGGGCAUCAGUCUGCGAAUCAUUUUCACGACAUUCACUUGUCGGGGAUUGGGAGCAGGCGUUUUACCUUGAGAAAAUUAGAGUGUUCCAGGCAGGCUUCAGCCCGAAUACAUUAGCAUGGAAUAAUAGAAUAGGACUAGAGACUAUUUAUUGGUUUAAGGCUUUAGUAAUGAUUAAUAGGAACAGUCGGGGGCAUUAGUACUUGACAGUCAGAAGGUGAAAUUCUAGGAUUUGUCAAAGACUAACUAAUGCGAAAGCAUUUGCCAAGCAUGUUUUCAUUAAUCAAGAACGAAAGUUAAGGGAUCAAAGACGAUUAGAUACCGUCGUAGUCUUAACUAUAAACUAUACCGACUCGGAAUUGGACAAUUUUAAUUUAGAUUGRUCAGCGCCGUAAGAGAAAUCAAAGUCUUUGGGUUCUUGGUGGAGUACGAUCGCAAGAUU
Molecule: ribosomal RNA, 544 nt
Filed under: uncultured eukaryote
Lineage: Eukaryota
Description: bacterial SSU rRNA
Rfam family: Eukaryotic small subunit ribosomal RNA
Source: RNAcentral